UUCAUCACAAAACUAAAAAGAAAAUAGGGAAAAAAAAAGCUAAGCUAAAGAUGUCAAAGAAAAAUACCAAAAUGCAAAUUAGUAUCUAAUAUGGGUUCUUGCAUGUAUAUAUAUAUAGAUGCAUGUAUAUUUAUAACGUAUCACCUGUCUUGAGUUGUCAUAGGAACAAUCGAAGAGUGGAAGACUCACUGAGCAGAUGGAAG
This 203-nucleotide long non-coding RNA is filed under the name Carica papaya (papaya). RNAcentral's name for it is "long non-coding RNA (CPAP_LNC012958)". Lineage: Eukaryota; Viridiplantae; Streptophyta; Magnoliopsida; Brassicales; Caricaceae. The record is from RNAcentral.